This 85-nucleotide transfer RNA is filed under the name Deltaproteobacteria bacterium. Its description in RNAcentral is "tRNA-Ser". It matches the Rfam family "tRNA". From Rfam's summary of the family: Transfer RNA (tRNA) molecules are approximately 80 nucleotides in length. The record is from RNAcentral. Lineage: Bacteria; Pseudomonadati; Myxococcota; Myxococcia.
GGAGGAAUGGCCGAGUGGCCGAAGGCGGCGGUCUUGAAAACCGCAGCACUGCAAGGUGCCGGGGGUUCGAAUCCCUCUUCCUCCG